RNAcentral lists this ribosomal RNA (624 nucleotides) under Inocybe leiocephala. Its description in RNAcentral is "eukaryotic LSU rRNA". The stretch from base 246 to 399 matches the Rfam family "5.8S ribosomal RNA". The record is from RNAcentral. Lineage: Eukaryota; Fungi; Basidiomycota; Agaricomycetes; Agaricales; Inocybaceae.
GCUGGUCUCCCUUGCGAGAGGGGGGCAUGUGCACGCUUGUCAUCUUUAUCUCUCCAACUGUGCACAUAUUGUAGACCUGGAGUUGUCUUUGUUGAUUCAUUCGAGUUGGCACUGCAGUGCUUCUUACAAACAAAAAAAAAAGUCUGCUCUGCCUUUUGCAUUUCCAGGUCUAUGUCAUUUUCACAACCUCAAUGUGUUUAGAAUGUUGAAUCAGGUCCUUUUUGUACCUAUAAAGUUAAAUAUACAACUUUCAGCAACGGAUCUCUUGGCUCUCGCAUCGAUGAAGAACGCAGCGAAAUGCGAUAAGUAAUGUGAAUUGCAGAAUUCAGUGAAUCAUCGAAUCUUUGAACGCAUCUUGCGCUCUUUGGUAUUCCGAGGAGCAUGCCUGUUUGAGUGUCAUUUCAAGUUCUCAACCGCAUCAAUUUCUCAUUGAUGUGGCUUGGAUGUGGGGGAUUGCAGGCUUCUGUCAAAGGAGGUCGGCUCCCCUGAAAAACAUUAGUGGUAUCUGAGCAGAAGAAACUACUACAGGUGUGAUAAUUAUCUAUGCCUUUCAGUAUGCUGCAUAAAAACAGACUGCACUGCUUCUAAGCUAGUGAAAACCUCUCUACAAAGGAGGGGCCACGU